This 119-nucleotide ribosomal RNA is filed under the name Danio rerio (zebrafish). Lineage: Eukaryota; Metazoa; Chordata; Actinopteri; Cypriniformes; Danionidae. The record is from RNAcentral.
UUCCACAGCCAAAUUAGCCUGCAGCCCAAGAGUGGUUACUUAUUGAUGCUGCAGCAACGCUGAGCCUGGUCAGUACCUGAAUGGGAGACCACAUGGGAAAAAUUAGGUUGCUGUUGAAA